GACGAACGCUGGUGGCGUGCCUAAUACAUGCAAGUCGAACGAACUCUGGUAUUGAUUGGUGCUUGCAUCAUGAUUUACAUUUGAGUGAGUGGCGAACUGGUGAGUAACACGUGGGAAACCUGCCCAGAAGCGGGGGAUAACACCUGGAAACAGAUGCUAAUACCGCAUAACAACUUGGACCGCAUGGUCCGAGUUUGAAAGAUGGCUUCGGCUAUCACUUUUGGAUGGUCCCGCGGCGUAUUAGCUAGAUGGUGAGGUAACGGCUCACCAUGGCAAUGAUACGUAGCCGACCUGAGAGGGUAAUCGGCCACAUUGGGACUGAGACACGGCCCAAACUCCUACGGGAGGCAGCAGUAGGGAAUCUUCCACAAUGGACGAAAGUCUGAUGGAGCAACGCCGCGUGAGUGAAGAAGGGUUUCGGCUCGUAAAACUCUGUUGUUAAAGAAGAACAUAUCUGAGAGUAACUGUUCAGGUAUUGACGGUAUUUAACCAGAAAGCCACGGCUAACUACGUGCCAGCAGCCGCGGUAAUACGUAGGUGGCAAGCGUUGUCCGGAUUUAUUGGGCGUAAAGCGAGCGCAGGCGGUUUUUUAAGUCUGAUGUGAAAGCCUUCGGCUCAACCGAAGAAGUGCAUCGGAAACUGGGAAACUUGAGUGCAGAAGAGGACAGUGGAACUCCAUGUGUAGCGGUGAAAUGCGUAGAUAUAUGGAAGAACACCAGUGGCGAAGGCGGCUGUCUGGUCUGUAACUGACGCUGAGGCUCGAAAGUAUGGGUAGCAAACAGGAUUAGAUACCCUGGUAGUCCAUACCGUAAACGAUGAAUGCUAAGUGUUGGAGGGUUUCCGCCCUUCAGUGCUGCAGCUAACGCAUUAAGCAUUCCGCCUGGGGAGUACGGCCGCAAGGCUGAAACUCAAAGGAAUUGACGGGGGCCCGCACAAGCGGUGGAGCAUGUGGUUUAAUUCGAAGCUACGCGAAGAACCUUACCAGGUCUUGACAUACUAUGCAAAUCUAAGAGAUUAGACGUUCCCUUCGGGGACAUGGAUACAGGUGGUGCAUGGUUGUCGUCAGCUCGUGUCGUGAGAUGUUGGGUUAAGUCCCGCAACGAGCGCAACCCUUAUUAUCAGUUGCCAGCAUUAAGUUGGGCACUCUGGUGAGACUGCCGGUGACAAACCGGAGGAAGGUGGGGAUGACGUCAAAUCAUCAUGCCCCUUAUGACCUGGGCUACACACGUGCUACAAUGGAUGGUACAACGAGUUGCGAACUCGCGAGAGUAAGCUAAUCUCUUAAAGCCAUUCUCAGUUCGGAUUGUAGGCUGCAACUCGCCUACAUGAAGUCGGAAUCGCUAGUAAUCGCGGAUCAGCAUGCCGCGGUGAAUACGUUCCCGGGCCUUGUACACACCGCCCGUCACACCAUGAGAGUUUGUAACACCCAAAGUCGGUGGGGUAACCUUUUAGGAACCAGCCGCCUAAGGUGGGACAGAUGAUUAGGGUG
RNAcentral lists this ribosomal RNA (1489 nucleotides) under Lactiplantibacillus plantarum. RNAcentral's name for it is "bacterial SSU rRNA". It matches the Rfam family "Bacterial small subunit ribosomal RNA". The record is from RNAcentral. Lineage: Bacteria; Bacillati; Bacillota; Bacilli; Lactobacillales; Lactobacillaceae.